UGCCUAGCAACUCCUAUCCCUACCUCCUCGCGGUACUGGCCGGGGUACGAGUAACCUUAGGGAAGA
RNAcentral lists this ribozyme (66 nucleotides) under Aedes aegypti (yellow fever mosquito). RNAcentral describes it as "drz-agam-1 ribozyme". It matches the Rfam family "drz-agam-1 ribozyme". Lineage: Eukaryota; Metazoa; Arthropoda; Insecta; Diptera; Culicidae. The record is from Rfam by way of RNAcentral.